Molecule: ribosomal RNA, 1069 nt
Filed under: Bacillus anthracis (anthrax bacterium)
Lineage: Bacteria; Bacillati; Bacillota; Bacilli; Caryophanales; Bacillaceae
Description: bacterial SSU rRNA
Rfam family: Bacterial small subunit ribosomal RNA
Source: RNAcentral
CCGGGGGCGCGCUAUAAUGCAAGUCGAGCGAACCAGAUUAAGAGCUUGCUCUUAAGAAGUUAGCGGCGGACGGGUGAGUAACACGUAGGUAACCUGCCUAUAAGACUGGGAUAACUCCGGGAAACCGGGGCUAAUACCGGAUAACAUUUUGCACCGCAUGGUGCGAAAUUGAAAGGCGGCUUCGGCUGUCACUUAUAGAUGGACCUGCGGCGCAUUAGCUAGUUGGUGAGGUAACGGCUCACCAAGGCGACGAUGCGUAGCCGACCUGAGAGGGUGAUCGGCCACACUGGGACUGAGACACGGCCCAGACUCCUACGGGAGGCAGCAGUAGGGAAUCUUCCGCAAUGGACGAAAGUCUGACGGAGCAACGCCGCGUGAGCGAUGAAGGCCUUCGGGUCGUAAAGCUCUGUUGUUAGGGAAGAACAAGUGCUAGUUGAAUAAGCUGGCACCUUGACGGUACCUAACCAGAAAGCCACGGCUAACUACGUGCCAGCAGCCGCGGUAAUACGUAGGUGGCAAGCGUUAUCCGGAAUUAUUGGGCGUAAAGCGCGCGCAGGUGGUUUCUUAAGUCUGAUGUGAAAGCCCACGGCUCAACCGUGGAGGGUCAUUGGAAACUGGGAGACUUGAGUGCAGAAGAGGAAAGUGGAAUUCCAUGUGUAGCGGUGAAAUGCGUAGAGAUAUGGAGGAACACCAGUGGCGAAGGCGACUUUCUGGUCUGCAACUGACACUGAGGCGCGAAAGCGUGGGGAGCAAACAGGAUUAGAUACCCUGGUAGUCCACGCCGUAAACGAUGAGUGCUAAGUGUUAGAGGGUUUCCGCCCUUUAGUGCUGAAGUUAACGCAUUAAGCACUCCGCCUGGGGAGUACGGCCGCAAGGCUGAAACUCAAAGGAAUUGACGGGGGCCCGCACAAGCGGUGGAGCAUGUGGGUUUAAUUCGAAGCAACGCGAGAACCUUACCAGGUCUUGACAUCCUCUGACACCCUAGAGAUAGGGCUUCCCCUUCGGGGCAGAGUGACAGGUGGUGCAUGGGUUGUCGUCAGCUUCUGGUCCGGAGAUGUUUGGGUUUAGC